Long non-coding RNA from Scylla paramamosain (green mud crab), 1609 nucleotides. RefSeq lists it as uncharacterized. The transcript has 3 exons. Lineage: Eukaryota; Metazoa; Arthropoda; Malacostraca; Decapoda; Portunidae. The record is from RefSeq and is a predicted model, not a curated record.
AGAUAGAAGACUGGGAGGCAGUGAUGCAGUUAUGAAAUGUUUGACUGAUUAGAUAAUAGACCUUCCUUAAGUACAAUACUCUCUUUGGCUUAUCAGUUUCCUGUUUGUACGAUGCUUGAGACAAGACGAUCUCUGGUAAACCUUCAUUGAUUUAAAACUAUUGCAUCCCUGUCCAUCCACGUGUCACUCCCUAGACCAACUUUAAAUGCAGAGACAGGGAGGAAAAGAAACAGGGAAAGAAGGGAAAAGGAACAGAUACAUGCAUGCCAAGAGACGCCGCCCCUUCACUCCCUCACCCCUCGUCUGCCCCGUUCUCCUCGCCCCACCCCGCCAGGCACCGAGCAACACAUGGCCCAGUGCCCGCUAGAAGUCAGAUAGUGUGCCACGAAGCCUGCGUCGCUACCCUAGUGCCACACCUCCUCCCAGGCCGAGCAGCUGACGCGGGACACGCCCUGCUCUGUACCUUGGUAGGUGAUAGUGUAAAGACUGCGCUGAAAUGAUGGAAAACACGUGAAAUAUAUGUGUGUCUUGAUUGUUCUGAUGAGGCAACAGUUUCAAAUAAGGGAAAACUAAGGAAAAGGAAAAUAAGCACAAAAAAAGUCGAGAGAAAAGAACGAAGGAAAAAACAUUGAUUCUUUUCCUUUAACCUUCAUUUCCCUUAUUAUCUCACUGACUUUGUGAUCAUUCUUCAUGUCUAGCCUUCCCUCACUCACCCCCUGCACUUCAUAACAAACACUUGAAUUAGGAAACCCAAAUUUUCCUCCCUCACUUCCCUUCAUCCUCCAUUCACAAACCAUCAACACGUCGCUCCCUUCACCUGUGUCCCCUCACCUGUCUGCGUUGCCUUUCCCUCACAUCCUCCUUCCCCUCACCCACCGCCCAGCAUCCUCCUCCUCUUCCCCUUCCCCUUCCUCCCCUUCCCCCUUCCCUUGCCUCUUCCCUAAUCCUACUCCACCUCCUCCUUGCUCAAGUUCCACAUUCUCCGCAACCAUUCCUUUUUCAUCCUCCUCUUCCACCUCCUCCCCCUCCUCCCGUCCCCUCCUCCACCCACCUUCCCCUCCACCGACUUCCUCCUCCUCCUCCUCCUCCUCCACCGCAGACCACGCAUCUUCCCCUCCACGUGCUAACAGGCCAAUUUACGUCACCACAGCAUCCACCGUCCUUCAGAGUCCUACGCCAUCCACUUCUCCUUCACUCUCCUCCAUCAAUUCCCCAUCCACUCGUCCUCCAUCCUACUGCUCCAUAGACGCUCGCCCUUAUCCACUUCAAGGACACGAUCCACCGUCCUCCACCUUCCCGGAGACCAUCAUGGAGGAGGAUGAGUGUGACAGUGUCCUCCACGCGCCCGUUCUUCCCCCCACGCCCCCCGCGCAGGAGUCCGAGACGCGCUCAAGAACCUCCAGGAAGUCCUUCAGGGAUCGAGCAAGACGAGGCUCCUGGAUCAGUAACAUUUCGGCGAUCACGGGAAUAAGUAAGUGUAAUUAAUGGUCCUGCGAGAAGAGCCAGAGUGCCAGAGUGCCGCGGGGAGGAGGCAGGUAAGUGUUGCGAACUUGAAGUGGCACCUGAGUAAACACACGCAACUCGGAACACCUUUAGGGGAGGAGGAGGA